This is a non-coding RNA of Mycena albidolilacea, 94 nucleotides long. The record is from the annotation of a GenBank genome assembly. Lineage: Eukaryota; Fungi; Basidiomycota; Agaricomycetes; Agaricales; Mycenaceae.
GGCCGUCUAGCUCAGUUGGUUAGAGCGUCGUGCUAAUAUUGAGGGGAUCCCCUCGGGUACGCGAAGGUCUUGGGUUCGACCCCCACGAUGGCCA